CCUACGGGUGGCUGCAGUGAGGAAUAUUGGUCAAUGGACGAGAGUCAGAACCAGCCAAGUAGCGUGAAGGAUGACUGCCCUAUGGGUUGUAAACUUCUUUUAUAAAGGAAUAAAACGAGGCACGUGUGCCUGUUUGCAUGUACUUUAUGAAUAAGGAUCGGCUAACUACGUGCCAGCAGCCGCGGUAAUACGGAGGAUCCGAGCGUUAUCCGGAUUUAUUGGGUUUAAAGGGAGCGUAGAUGGGUUGUUAAGUCAGUUGUGAAAGUUUGCGGCUCAACCGUAAAAUUGCAAUUGAUACUGGCAGUCUUGAGUACAGUUGAGGUAGGCGGAAUUCGUGGUGUAGCGGUGAAAUGCUUAGAUAUCACGAAGAACCCCGAUUGCGAAGGCAGCUUACUAAACUGUGACUGACAUUGAUGCUCGAAAGCGUGGGGAGCAAACAGGAUUAGAUACCCCUGUAGUC
Molecule: ribosomal RNA, 460 nt
Filed under: uncultured bacterium
Lineage: Bacteria
Description: partial 16S ribosomal RNA
Rfam family: Bacterial small subunit ribosomal RNA
Source: RNAcentral